ACCACUCCACCACCUGUGCAUCGGGAUACUCCGCCGUGUCAUCCUCCGCUGGUUGAGAAAAACAAAGAUUCAACCCUUGAAUUUGAAAUUAGGGUUCUUAACAUUGAUAGCUUCCAAAUCCCAAUCACAAACAUGUUGAGACUGAAUCGAUUAAUAACACACAUUAAUAACUCUACCAAGUCUUCACUUCUCUUACUUCAAAAGCAGCAGCAACAAGAGAAGCUCUUAUACUUUCCCUUCUCGGUGUUUCUUGUAAAAGACCUCCACUCGCUUCCUUGACAUGUACCAUCUUUGAAACAAAGCAGCUAUUGAGAAAGAGCGUGCAAGGCUGACAGUGCAGAUGAGAUGAAUAGGGGUUACUUUGCUGAUAUUGCAGAGUUCAAGCAACAUGGUGGUAGGGUAAGGUAAGGUAGUUAUGGAUAGCUAUUUAUAGGUUAGGUUUGGUUAUACUAUUAUCCAAACUUUGCAAAAUUUAUUGCUUCAAUUUUUAUUAAAUGUUUAAUUCACAUUCAUUUCUUGUUUUGCUUGUAUGGUUGGUGUUGAUAAUCAUGAAUGCUUAUGCAACUAUUAUUUUUUAGGAGAUUGAAGAUAAUAUUAAGUACUGUUUUAGAAGUGGAGAGGAGGGAGAGCAUAUACAGUUGUUGAGAUAGUUUUCAUAAAUAUGGGGAACGUUAUUGUUGUGAAUUUUAUUUUAAUCUGCUAUGCUAGAUAUCUAUGCAUGAGAUGAGAUUGACUUAACAAGUUUGUGCAUUAUCAUGAGUAGCAUUUUGAAUAAUCGCUAUGUAUAACAAUGUUGGUAUAUGCUAUCUUGUUUAAAUUGUGUCUUAAGAUUGUCAAAUCAAGCUGAUCUGGUACAAAUAAUUUUUAUGGUGGAACUUAUCCAUGAAAAUAAAUGUAAUUAACCCUCCUCCUGCACCUGUGGGCUGCAGCAUGAACCUACUUGGUAACUGGCUGAACAUUAGGUUAGAUUAUGUGCCUUUUUUAGUAAGGACUUUUUAGUUUGUCAAUGAUGCUCAUGCAGAUUGCAGUGGCAAAUAAAGUUAUAAUUCCAGCAAUGGCAGUAGUGAAGUUUCCCAACUUAGAAGUGAACUUUUCUGAUGGUAAAACUUUAAAGUUGCCUUUUGGGUCCAAUGGAAGUGUGGCUGAUGCUGACACAUCAACUAUGCCUAAAGCAUCUUUACUAUGUCUUUCAUUUCGAGCAAGCUCUCAGGUAUGGACUGUGAACAUCUUUUAGUUAAAUUGUAUCUAUACAUCUGUCAUGGUGUUUCCUUGCAUAUUUUAAUGUGAUUAUGAACCAUGCCAAAUGUUCUAUUUGGGGUUUAAGAGUCCUCACCAUCGCAAUUAAGGCAAUUAUAAGAACUACAAAUGAGGGGAAAAAAGGUGAAAAGAAAAAUGAAAGGGAAAGAGGAGACAUGAAGAAGGCUGAAAAAUCAAAUCAGCAAUGACAGACAUAUCCUGGAUUUUUUUUUUCAUGCGUCCAAACAUGGUAGGCAAUAAAAUUAUGUUUAAGGUUAACCUCCUAGGUGGCAUGAUAAGAUGUCUUUGCCCAUAUUGGAUUAUUGGAUCAGGGACUUUCUUAUUGCUAGUAUGUUUUUAAUCUAACUGUUGUAUGACACUUGGGCCAAGAAGAAAUAUAACAAAAACUGCAAGCCAAGUCAUAAACGAAGAGUAUCAAGUCUCUUUCAUGAAAUAACUGGGUUAUAUUCAAAAUAGGUUGUUAGAUUCCAGCUCACUUGACUCCCUUAGUCCCUUUCC
This is a long non-coding RNA of Hevea brasiliensis (rubber tree), 1755 nucleotides long. RefSeq lists it as uncharacterized. NCBI's taxonomy places the organism in Eukaryota, Viridiplantae, Streptophyta, Magnoliopsida, Malpighiales, Euphorbiaceae. The record is from RefSeq and is a predicted model, not a curated record. The transcript has 3 exons.